AUGGCUAUGAUAGCAUUCAUCGCGUUAACAAUCUUCUGGAAAAGCAAUAUGCAUCGCGAUUCAUUGACUGAUGGAGGGUUAUAUCUGGGGGUGUUGUUUUUCUUUGUGGGUGAAACCAUGUUCAGCAAUUUAGGUGACCUUGGCGGAACUAUCAUGAAACUGCCACUUUUCUUUAAGGAAAGGGAUGUUUUCUAUCCGGCAUGGGCGUACACUUUGCCUCAAUGGAUUCUUAAGAUUCCCAUCACCCUUGUUGAAAUCACAAUAUUGGUUUCCAUGACAUAUUAUGCAGUUGGGUUUGACCCAAAUAUUGGGAGGUUCUUCAAGCAAUAUUUUUUGCUUCUAGCACUAAGUCAGAUGUCAUCUUCCUUGUUCCGGUUGAUUGCUGGAGUAACGAGAAACAUGUUUGCGGCAAACAUCUUUGGAACAUUUACAAUGCUUUUGCUUUUGCUGUUAGGUGGAUUUUUGCUUUCUAGCGAAAACUUCAACAAGUUUUGGUUGCUUGGAUACUGGAUCUCACCAUUGAUGUAUGCACAAACUGCAAUUUCGACAAAUGAAUUUACAUCUCACCGCUGGAGUAAAGCACUUCCUAGGUCAACAGAGCCAUUAGGAACAAGUGUCUUGAAAUCUCGAGGGAUAUUUGUGGAGGCAAAAUGGUACUGGAUUGGCUUAGGUGUACUGAUUGGAUACACAAUUAUAUUUAAUGGCCUCUACACCGCAGCUUUUACAUACUUCAAAACACAUGGUAGAGGCUUUUCAUCAUUGACAAACAAGGCACUAGACAAAAAAUUUGCAAAACUGAGUAGGGAUGCUCCCUUAAAAAGAUCUCACCAAAAAAGAGUAAUGAAUGAAAUGGAGAGUCCUACAAACAACGGAAGGGUAUCGCUUCCAUUUGUGCCACUUUCACUUACCUUUGACAACAUAAGGUAUUCAGUAGACAUGCCAAAGGAAAAUAAAGCACGGGGUGAGACAAAAGAUCGUUUGGAAAUACUAAAGGGUGUGAGUGGUUGCUUUAGACCAGGUGUGCUGACUGCAUUAAUGGGCAUUAGUGGUGCCGGAAAAACAACGUUGAUGGAUGUGUUAGCAGGAAGGAUAACCGGAGGCUACAGAGAGGGGACAAUAACUAUCUCGGGCUACCAAAAGAAGCAAGAAACCUUUUGUCGUAUAUUUGGAUACUGUGAGCAGUCAGAUAUCCACUCUCCACACUUGACUAUUCUUGAGUCACUUCUAUUCUCCGCGUGGCUUCGAUUACCAUCAGAAAUUGACUCAUUAACAAGAAGGAUAUUUGUUGAGGACGUGUUGGAGAUCUUGGAGCUCACAUCAUUGGGAGGUGCACAAGUUGGAUAUCCUGGAGGAUAUGGUCUCUCAAUUGAGCAACGGAAGAGGCUGACCAUUGCAGUAGAGCUUGUAGCUAAUCCUUCUAUUAUUUUCAUGGACGAGCCAACAUCGGGGCUUGAUGCUAGGGCUGCAGCAAUUGUAAUGAGGACUGUCAGGAACCUGGUGGACACUGGUAAAACUGUUGCCUGCACCAUUCACCAGCCAAGCAUAGACAUAUUUGAAACUUUCGAUGAGCUUUUUCUACUGAACCGAGGAGGGGAGGAGAUCUAUGUUGGUCCACUGGGCGAGCAAUCUUUGAAUAUGAUCACAUACUUUGAGGGAAUAGGCGUUAAUAGGAUACAAGAUGGGUAUAACCCCGCAACUUGGAUGUUGGAGGUAACCUCAACAUUACAAGAGCAAAUGUUGGGGAUUAAUCUUUCUGUAAUAUUCAAACAAUCAGAGCUAUAUCAGAAGAACAAGGCCUUGAUAAAGGAACUAAGUAUGCCUCCUCCUAGCUCAACCGAUCUCCAUUUUCCUGAUGAGUAUUCACAAUCUUUAGUGAAGCAAUGCUUAAUAUGCUUAUGGAAGCAAAACUUAUCAUAUUGGAGGAACAUUCAUUACACUGGGAGUAGAUAUUGUAUCACCAUAAUCAUAGCACUGCUUUUUGGCACGGUAUUCUGGGACCUUGGAAUGAAAAGGUGGGUUUUUCAAUUAUCACCUGAUUGUUAUUUGUUCCUGUAUUGUGGUCUCCACAUUGUAAAAUGUUUCUCUACACCUUACAGAGCGAGACGACAAGAUUUGUUCAAUUCCAUGGGGUCCAUGUACGCUGCCAUUCUAAUGAUCGGUAUUUCGAAUGCAUCGGGUGUCCAACCGGUGAUUGCAAUGGAAAGAAUAGUGUUCUACAAGGAAAGAGCAUCUCAAAUGUACUCAUCCCUACCGUAUACAUUUGCACAGGUUGUAAUUGAGCUCCCAUACGUACUCGUUCAAUCUCUUAUUUAUGGAGUUUUGGUGUAUGCAAUGAUAGGAUUUGAGUGGACUGCAACCAAAUUCUUUUGGUACUUGUUCUUCAUGUACUUCACAUUCUUGUACUUCACAUUCUUUGGGAUGAUGGCUGCGGGACUUUCACCCAGUGGUGGUAUCGCAGCAAUUAUAUCAUCUGCAUCCUAUGGCCUAUGGAACUUGUUCUCUGGGUUUCUCAUCCCAGUUUCUAGAAUUCCUAUCUGGUGGAGUUGGUAUUACUGGAUAUGCCCGGUUGCAUGGACAUUGUAUGGUCUAGUCACUUCACAAUUUGGGGAUGUCGAGGAGAAACUUGAGACUGAUGAGACUGUAGCAGAGUUCCUGAGGAGCUACUAUGGUUUCAAGCAUGAAUUCUUGGGAGUGAUUGCCACAGUGACUAUGGGAUGCACUGUGGCUUUCGCCCUCUUGUUUGGCUUUUCUAUCAAGUAUAUCAACUUCCAAAGGAGAUGA
RNAcentral lists this ribosomal RNA (2781 nucleotides) under Triticum aestivum (bread wheat). Its description in RNAcentral is "partial small subunit ribosomal RNA". Lineage: Eukaryota; Viridiplantae; Streptophyta; Magnoliopsida; Poales; Poaceae. The record is from RNAcentral.